ACGGCGAGUGAAGCGGCAAGAGCUCAAAUUUGAAAGCUGGCCCCCUCGGGGUCCGCAUUGUAAUUUGCAGAGGAUGCUUCGGGAGCGGCCCCCAUCUAAGUGCCCUGGAACGGGCCGUCAUAGAGGGUGAGAAUCCCGUCUGGGAUGGGGUGUCCGCGCCCGUGUGAAGCUCCUUCGACGAGUCGAGUUGUUUGGGAAUGCAGCUCUAAAUGGGUGGUAAAUUUCAUCUAAAGCUAAAUACUGGCCGGAGACCGAUAGCGCACAAGUAGAGUGAUCGAAAGAUGAAAAGCACUUUGAAAAGAGAGUUAAACAGCACGUGAAAUUGUUGAAAGGGAAGCGCUUGCGACCAGACUCGCUCGCGGGGUUCAGCCGGCAUUCGUGCCGGUGUACUUCCCCGCGAGCGGGCCAGCGUCGGUUUGGGCGGCCGGUCAAAGGCCCUCGGAAUGUAACGCCCCCCGGGGCGUCUUAUAGCCGAGGGUGCCAUGCGGCCAGCCCGGACCGAGGAACGCGCUUCGGCUCGGACGCUGGCAUAAUGGUCGUAAGCGACCCGUCU
This 553-nucleotide ribosomal RNA is filed under the name Penicillium sp. Its description in RNAcentral is "partial large subunit ribosomal RNA". It matches the Rfam family "Eukaryotic large subunit ribosomal RNA", at positions 86 to 654 of the family's 3401-position model. Lineage: Eukaryota; Fungi; Ascomycota; Eurotiomycetes; Eurotiales; Aspergillaceae. The record is from RNAcentral.